This 2426-nucleotide ribosomal RNA is filed under the name Thermococcus thioreducens. Its description in RNAcentral is "bacterial LSU rRNA". It matches the Rfam family "Archaeal large subunit ribosomal RNA", at positions 15 to 2437 of the family's 2987-position model. Lineage: Archaea; Methanobacteriati; Methanobacteriota; Thermococci; Thermococcales; Thermococcaceae. The record is from RNAcentral.
AAGCCGCCUGGUGGAUGGCUCGGCUCGGGGCGCCGACGAAGGGCGUGGCAAGCUGCGAUAAGCCCCGGCGAGGCGCAGGCAGCCGUCGAACCGGGGAUUCCCGAAUGGGACCUCCUGCGGCUCUUGCCGCACUCCCAGUCGGGAGGGGGAACGCGGGGAAUUGAAACAUCUUAGUACCCGCAGGAAAAGAAAGCAAAAGCGAUGCCGUGAGUAGGGGCGACCGAAAGCGGCACAGGGCAAACUGAACCCUUCGGGGAAACCCGGAGGGGAUGUGGUGUUGUAGGGCCCUGCGCUGGAGCCUCGAGGGUGAAGCCGAAGUCCGCUGGAACGCGGCGCCGAAGAGGGUGAAAGCCCCGUAGGCGUAAGCCCUCAGGCUCCUGCAGGGUUCCUGAGUACCGUCGGUCGGAUAUCCGGCGGGAAGCUGGGAGGCAUCGGCUCCCAACCCUAAAUACGUCCCGAGACCGAUAGCGAACUAGUACCGUGAGGGAAAGCUGAAAAGCACCCCUGGCAGGGGGUGAAAAGAGCCUGAAACCAGGCGGCGAUAGGUGGGUGCGGCCCGAAAGGGUUGACCCUCCCCGAAGGAAACACGGGCGACCGUGGAGUACGAGGGGAGGCGACCGGGGUUGCACCGUCCGUCUUGGAUCACGGGGCAGGGAGUUCACGGCCGUGGCGAGGUUAAGGGGGUUAAGCCCCGAAGCCACAGGGAAACCGACAGGUCCGCAGCCCGUAAGGGUGAGGGACGGGGUGUGAAAGCGCCCGGAGUCACGGCCGUGAGACCCGAAGCCGGUCGAUCUAGCCCGGGGCAGGGUGAAGUCCCUCAACAGAGGGAUGGAGGCCCGCUAGGGAUGCUGACGUGCAAUUCGCUCCCGUGACCCCGGGCUAGGGGUGAAAGGCCAAUCGAGGCCGGCGAUAGCUGGUUCCCGCCGAAUUAUCCCUCAGGAUAGCCCGGCCGGAGGUAGGCGGUGGGGUAGAGCACUGAUUGGGGGUUUAGGGGGAGAAAUCCCCGGCUCCCUGUCAAACUCCGAACCCACUGCCGCCGUAGAUGGCCGGAGUAGGGUGGCGGUGUAAGCCGUCAACCGAGAGGGGAACAACCCAGACCGGGGUUAAGGCCCCUAAAUGCCGGCUAAGUGUUACUCCAAAGGGUGUCCCUGGCCUUAGACAGCGGGGAGGUAGGCUUAGAAGCAGCCAUCCUUUAAAGAGUGCGUAACAGCUCACCCGUCGAGGUCAGGGGCCCCGAAAAUGGACGGGGCUUAAGCCGGCUGCCGAGACCCCGGCGCACGGACCGAUUGGUCCGUGAUCGGGUAGGCGGGCGUGCCGGUGGGGUGGAAGCCGGGCCGUAAGGUCCGGUGGACCCGUCGGUAUUGUGGAUCCUGCCGGGAGUAGCAGCAUAGCCGGGUGAGAAUCCCGGCCGCCGAAGGGGCCAGGGUUCCACGGCAAUGUUCGUCAGCCGUGGGUUAGUCGGUCCUAAGCCAGCCCGUAACUCGGCGCUGGCGAAAGGGAAACGGGUUUAUAUUCCCGUACCGCGGUGGUAGGUGCGGCAACGCAAGCCCAGAGGGUGACGCCUCGGGGUAGGCGGACCGGCCCACAAGGCCGGCUAAGCGUAUAAGUCCGGGGAGUGCCGUAAUGGCGAGAACCGGAUGAAAGCGCGAAUGGCCUCCCGUAAGGGGGGUUCCGCCGAUCCCUGGGGCCCGUGAAAAGCCCUCUGGGAACGAUCCACCGCGACCGUACCGAGAACCGACACCGGUGCCCCUGGGUGAGAAGCCUAAGGCGUGUCGGGGGAAACCCAGCCGAGGGAACUCGGCAAAUUGGCCCCGUAACUUCGGGAGAAGGGGUGCCUGCGGGUGCGUAACCCGCAGGUCGCAGUGACUAGGGGGGCCCGACUGUUUAGUAAAAACACAGGUCCCAGCUAGCCCGAAAGGGUUUGUACUGGGGCCGACGCCUGCCCAGUGCCGGUAUGUGAAGCCCGGGUCCAACCGGGUGAAGCACCGGUAAACGGCGGGGGUAACUAUAACCCUCUUAAGGUAGCGAAAUUCCUUGUCGGUUAAAUGCCGACCUGCAUGAAUGGCGUAACGAGGUCCCCACUGUCCCCGGCUGGGGCCCGGCGAAACCACUGCCAGGCGCAUAUGCCUGGGACCUCCGGUGGGAAGCGAAGACCCCAUGGAGCUUUACUGCAGCCUGCCGUUGCCGUACGGCGGGGGGUGCGCGAGCGUAGGCGGGAGGCGUCGAAGCCCGUCCUCCGGGGCGGGUGGAGCCGUCCAUGAGACACCGCCCACCCUCUGCCGUACGGCUAACCCCCGAUGGGGGGACAGCGGUAGGUGGGCAGUUUGGCUGGGGCGGCACACCCUCGAAAAGGUAUCGAGGGUGCCCUAAGGUCGGCUCAGGCGGGUCAGGAAUCCGCCGUAGAGUGCAAGGGCAAAAGCCGGCCU